AUUUAUAUAGUUUAAAAAAAACAUUACAUUUUCAUUGUGAAAUUAAGAUAAUUUAUAAAUU
Molecule: transfer RNA, 61 nt
Filed under: Chrysolagria sp. CHR01
Lineage: Eukaryota; Metazoa; Arthropoda; Insecta; Coleoptera; Tenebrionidae
Description: tRNA-Glu
Source: RNAcentral